UUUCUCGAGUUUGGUUUCGUAAAUGCGUGAAACAUAGCUUUUUGUGGUUCAUUCGAGAUUAGGGCUUCAUCAUUCCCUUCCUUCCUUACAGAACUCAAACUGUCGUUUUAUCAUUUCAUGAUCUGGAGACUACCUCUUCUCUUCUCAUCUCUAAACCUCCCUGACGUUAUAUCUUCAUCUCUUCUGAGAUAUGAGCGGCUUGUGAGGAUGAUUGACCCUCAGAACCACCGUCAGUUUAUCAGAGAUGGCUUCCUCCGAUGUUGUUCUCGUGCACUCCGCCUUCGACGCUCUCUGACUCGGUAGAUCUGCCCAGACCAUUGGUUGUCGUCACCUCCAUUUUUGGACUCGAAAAAAUCAAGAAGCUAGGUGAAUUCAUGGGAAUCACUCUACUCCUCCUUUAUGAGAAGAAAUCGGUGAUACAUGGGUUCAUUCCUGCUGGUCGCGCCCCAUAUUACCAUCCGUCUUUGUGAGCAGGUUCAGUCGUGAGAGUCUUAUGAUUUGAAGUUGCAAGAUGUACAAAUAUGUACAAGAUUACGAAACACCCUUUCGUGAUCCGGUUCAUCCCCCAAACCACCAUUGAUGAAGUAAUCGAGAAUGCUCUCAUCAUCAACCUAGAGAAGUUCAUGCUGCGGAAGUUUGACCCUUUUCAAGCUCUCGCUAACACUAAUUUAGAACUCCCUGUUGUUGUUGGGCAAUUUCAAUUUGUCCAAAGUUUGGACCUGAAGGACGCUACAGUAACUGGUCAAGUUGUUGUUUGUUUUGUGAUUGAACCGAGCAAUGUUUAGGGGUCUCUUCAACUCAGGUGAAAGGGCAGAGUCUGCCAUGGUGGUCACUACUGUGAAUCCCAAAAUAUUUGGAGGUUGUUCCACCAUAUGAAUUACGAACAACAUUCAAUCCGCAGGUAACCUAUACCUCAACUCAACACCAGCAACGAAAUUUUAUUUUGACCUAGUCCUUCAUGCAAUUACAGAGUUCACAGCCAGCUUAGAAGGCCCAGUUGGAGACGUUUUCCCAUGUAUCGAUACCAAAGACGAAGAGAUAAAAAAGAAGGAAGUUGUCUCAAUAGGAGAUCUUAACAAGUUCAUCUCCAAUCCUGGCGACUAGACACAUGGACUGAUUUUAUUUGCAAAGCUCGGGUUGUUGAGGUAUUGCAACAAAAUGGCUGGUCUUUCGUCUCUUGCUCUGGAUGCAGCAGGGAGCUUGACAAAUCAUGGACUUCUCUCUAUUGCAACCGAUGUGUUAAUCCGAACGUUACUGAAGUUAUAAAAGAGAUGCUUAAACUCACUAAGCAAGAUGCAGCUGCUCUGACUCUAGAUGAGAUGAAUGUUGGUGGCGGUGAGGAACUCCCACAAUGCCUGAAAGAACUAGCUGGAAAAUAUUUUUAUUUCAGAUACAUGUGAAACCAUUCAAUUUCACCCCUAACCACUGUACUUUCACUGUUUUUGCAAUUGUUAAUCACAUCAACCCGAGAUUUUCAAUACCAAUGAGGCACCAUUUGUUCAAGAGGAAGGUGGCGAACCAUCCGCAUCUGUCACCUACAAGGUUCGGGGUAAAGCCAAUGAAACAUAUCUAUCCGGUGUUGAAGGCAAAGAGGGUGGCCGUAAACGCCCCCGCAAUUGAAGUUACAAAGCUGUUAAGUGUUAACCCAAGUCUGCUUCUGCGUCUUUACAAUUUCAGGACUUACUUUGCAUUUCCUAUUUCAGACUCUUAUAUUUUUUU
Long non-coding RNA from Brassica oleracea var. oleracea, 1719 nucleotides. RefSeq lists it as uncharacterized. The transcript has 11 exons. The record is from RefSeq and is a predicted model, not a curated record. NCBI's taxonomy places the organism in Eukaryota, Viridiplantae, Streptophyta, Magnoliopsida, Brassicales, Brassicaceae.